Molecule: long non-coding RNA, 2648 nt
Organism: Microplitis demolitor
Lineage: Eukaryota; Metazoa; Arthropoda; Insecta; Hymenoptera; Braconidae
Exons: 3
Source: RefSeq, a predicted model, not a curated record
AAAGAUUUAGAAACGUUAUUUUUUGACUCCAAAUUCGCUCAUAUGAAUCCUAGAUAGACUUUAUUUUUCAUUAUCAAAAUUAAAAAAGUUGAAAAAAAAUUUCACUCAGUUCUAAUCUGUUUCAAGUUCAAAAGUUCCACUUGUCGAACUUUUUUGGAAUGAAUUUUUUUUUGCACGAACAGUGCCCCCACUUUUUCAAAAAAAAUUAAAUAACUGAAAUGUCACCCGUAUUCGUAGUUUACAUAUAUUUUAUUUCAUUUAAAAAUAUAAGCUAAAGCUUUCUUGAGAUAUGUCUUCCUAAAUUUAAAAAACUAAACGACAGUAAAUAAAAUUUGAAAAAUAUAUAAUAGAUUAAAGUUAACGGCUUUUAUAUUUUGAAUUGUGUGCAAUCAUAAAAAAUAUUAUUUUUUUUUUGUGCCAUAAAUUGUAAAGCCGUAGUUUCAGUACUAUACGUAAAAUUGGUUAAUUAAGUAAUUUUAUAAAGUAAUAACAAGAUGAUUAGUAUGAUAAAUAAUAAUUUAAAAUCUAGAGAAAUUUUCUAUAGAAUCCUCAAGAGAAAUAGUUGCUGUUAAAAUUAAAAUUAAAGCUAAUUAUUUAAAUAAUUAUUUUUAGUAAUUAAAUAUUUUUUUUAUUUUUUGUAAAAACAAAUUGCUUCACUUUUCUACUAUAAAAUAAUUUUAAAAGGGUUCUAUAGUUGCGUCAUUAAAAUUACACUGGAAUAAUUAUGAAUUUAAGCAUUUGAUAUAUUCGACAAAAAAAAUUUAAUUAUUUUAAAUUUUUAAUUAUUCAAAUCUACUAUUCGCGUUUGAAAAAAUUUUAAAUAAUAUAAAUAUGGUAUAAUACCUGACCUAAUUGACAUAUCGAAUUUCUAUAGUCGUAACUUUCUGGAAAAAUUGAUAGCAAAUUAAAAAAUAAAAAAUAUUAUUUUGAAAUUGAUGCCUCGGAGGAUUAAUAAUUUAUAUUUAAUAAUAAAUAAAAAAAAAAAAAUCGAUUCCAUGAAUUGAAUAAUAAAAAUAAUAUAUAAUUUAAAAUUUGAGUCCGAUAUGACAAUAUUGUUUAUGCAGUGAAUGCCAUAAGAAAAUAAGUGAAUAAUUUUUACAGUGCUCAUUACAACGAGCUAUUUAAAAUAAUAAAAUAAAUAUUUUAAAAAAGAAAUAAUUAAAGUCCUCAUGUGACAGAGGAUUUAAUAUUUAGUCACUAAUAUUUAAGUAACUGGACAGUAAAAAUAAAUAAUAAUUAAAAUUAAAAAAAAACGACAGCUCGUUUUGUGCUUGAUAAUUUAUAUUUUUCGAAAAAGAAAAAUAUUAGCUGGGCUGUAUAAAAAUAAAUGAAAUUUUUCAGCAAAGGGUUAAUGAGUUAAAAAAAAGUUAUUAUUAUAUUAAGGAAGAAAGGACGAAAUAAAUAAUAAAUCUUAAUAAAUGCGAUGUCUGUAUGUGUGUUGUGUGUAGAUACGUUGCCGUAACCGCGCUUACUAAUAUUAAUAACUAAUAAUUAAUAUUGAUAAUAAAAAAAGAGUAAAAGCAAUUGCUCUUAUAUGUAAUAAUCUUAAAUAUUAAUCGUUAUGAAAAAACAAAGAGAAUAAAAAUAAGAAGAUGAUAAUUAAAAUAAAAAAACGUUUUAAAAUUAUUAAAUUACUAUGUCACGUAAUUUUUAAAUUUAUCCGUGUCUGUAAAUAUUAUGUUUUUAUAUAUAUACAUUAUUAUGAUUAUUAUUAUUAUAAUUACAAAAGCAACUUAUUAAUCAAUGAUGAUAUAUAUAUGUAUAUAUAUCAUCAUAAUUUAUUAAUUAAGUACGUAAAGUAAAAUUUGGGUCAUAUUUUACUGUUAGCAUAAUAUGCAGCGAAUGUCAUCAAUAAAAACAAUAAUUAUUAACCCAAUUUUUGCAUUCUUUUAUUUAUUAGAGUAAAAAAUUAGUAUAUUAUAUACCUAGGUCAGUAAAGAAAAGUCUCAGAUUAUAUGUAAUUGUUGUCUAGGCUUUCUUUUUUACUGGCCAAGGUGCGUAUACUAUUUUUCUGUUCGACGGAGCCGGAAAGUUGUCACUUUCCGGCCGGAGGGCAGAAAAAAUUAUUAAUUUUCAUCAUACCGGCGUCGAAUGUUUAUAUUCCUGCCCUGUUUAGAGGAAAGAAAGUUUUUCUUAUCUUUAGUCUGAAAACUUCUGUUUUUUUGUAACUCUCCUGUUAUUAUUUUUUUGUUAUUAGUAAGAAAAAUUUAUUGUUAACGUAAGAUGACAAUUUAAUUUAAAGGAAAUUACUUUAUUGUGAUUAUUCGCUCUUUAAAUUUUCAUAUAUUUAUAUACUGUGAGGUAAAUAUAUAUGAAUUUUAUUGAGCUGUUAUGAUUAAUUUUUUUUGCUAAAGGAAAUUAUUGUUAUGUCGCCAACAAAAAAAAAAGUUGAUUGACAUGUUUUAAGGUAUGGAAAAAAUUUACUCAUUCUGACUCUCGCUUCCGUAAGAUCAAGACGUUAUAUUUAAUCUUGAUAAAUUAUAUAGCGAUUGCGGCAAAAAAUUGAUAAAUAUUUUCAAUCUUCCAAGUAAACUGACAGUGAUUAAUUAUAAAUAAAAUUAAUUUUUAAUCAACAAAAAAAUUUUAAAAAAUGGCACGUCCUGUGUACGUAAAAACUUCAGAAACUAAAAAAAAAUUUGAGGAUCUUA